Molecule: ribosomal RNA, 766 nt
Filed under: uncultured Actinomycetes bacterium
Lineage: Bacteria; Bacillati; Actinomycetota; Actinomycetes
Description: bacterial SSU rRNA
Rfam family: Bacterial small subunit ribosomal RNA
Source: RNAcentral
CUUGUAGGUGGCUUGUCGCGUCUGCCGUGAAAACCCGAGGCUCAACCUCGGGCGUGCGGUGGGUACGGGCAGGCUAGAGUGUGGUAGGGGAGACUGGAACUCCUGGUGUAGCGGUGAAAUGCGCAGAUAUCAGGAAGAACACCGAUGGCGAAGGCAGGUCUCUGGGCCAUUACUGACACUGAGAAGCGAAAGCAUGGGUAGCGAACAGGAUUAGAUACCCUGGUAGUCCAUGCCGUAAACGUUGGGCACUAGGUGUGGGGGACAUUCCACGUUUUCCGCGCCGUAGCUAACGCAUUAAGUGCCCCGCCUGGGGAGUACGGCCGCAAGGCUAAAACUCAAAGGAAUUGACGGGGGCCCGCACAAGCGGCGGAGCACGCUGAUUAAUUCGAUGCAACGCGAAGAACCUUACCAAGGCUUGACAUGCACUGGACGGCUGCAGAGAUGUGGCUUUCUUCGGACUGGUGCGCAGGUGGUGCAUGGUUGUCGUCAGCCCGUGUCGUGAGAUGUUGGGUUAAGUCCCGCAACGAGCGCAACCCUCGUUCUAUGUUGCCAGCACGUGAUGGUGGGGACUCAUAGGAGACUGCCGGGGUCAACUCGGAGGAAGGUGGGGACGACGUCAAAUCAUCAUGCCCCUUAUGUCUUGGGCUUCAAGCAUGCUACAAUGGUCGGUACAAUGGGUUGCGAAACUGUGAGGUGGAGCGAAUCCCAAAAAGCCGGCCUCAGUUCGGAUUGGGGUCUGCAACUCGACCCCAUGAAGUCGGAGUCG